Molecule: long non-coding RNA, 281 nt
Organism: Neopelma chrysocephalum (saffron-crested tyrant-manakin)
Lineage: Eukaryota; Metazoa; Chordata; Aves; Passeriformes; Pipridae
Exons: 3
Source: RefSeq, a predicted model, not a curated record
GAAGAACUCCUUGGGGCGCAGGGCAAUCUGCUCAGGGUGGGAAUCCAUUGACUGCAAAAAAAAAGCCAUUUUUCCAUCAACUGCUGGGCGUUGAACAGUGUCACAAAACCACAAAGACCACACCUGAGGAGUGCUGCUAAUGCCUACACACCUCUCACAAGCUCCAGGGCAGAAGUAGUAGCUCAGACCCUUGGACUUCUUUAGUCGGGGAAGGGUCUGCACACCCAGCUCCUGGUAUCACAACUUCAAUUUUCACUUCAACUGCAGGAACAAACAGAAAC